RNAcentral lists this ribosomal RNA (135 nucleotides) under uncultured bacterium. RNAcentral's name for it is "partial 16S ribosomal RNA". It matches the Rfam family "Bacterial small subunit ribosomal RNA", at positions 392 to 524 of the family's 1533-position model. The record is from RNAcentral.
CCAUGCCGCGUGCAGGAAGAAUGCCCUAUGGGUUGUAAACUGCUUUUAUUUAGGAAUAAACCCUUCUACGUGUAGAAGGCUGAAUGUACUAAACGAAUAAGCACCGGCUAACUCCGUGCCAGCAGCCGCGGUAAU